CAAUUGAGGGUCAGGGAUGGUGGUGGCUCGGCUAAACAUCUGAUUGAUUUUAUUGUAUGUUUUUAUGGGGGUGCGGGCUAAAUUAAAUUUAAAAUGCCAACAGUUGAAUGCAAGAUGGUCAUGCAGGAAGGCGCUCGAGGAAAAGAAGGUUGUGUAUUAAUAGUUUUUGCCAGCUGGUAAUGAACGGUAUACAUUCUUCUUCUAAAAGAUUCUUCUUCAAUACGUAUAGUCCCCGCCAAAAGUAUUGGAACGGCAAGGUCAAUUCCUUUGUUUUUGUUGUAUACUGAAGACAUUUGGGUUUCAGAUCAAAAGAUGAAUAUGAGACAAAAGUUCAGAAUUCCAUCUUUUAAUUCGUGGGAUUUACAUCUCGAUGUGUUCAACAACUCACGACAGAGCACCUCUGGCCUUCCUGUGUGGAGUUUGAAUGUUUGGUUUUCCUCCCACGUUCCAAGACUUGUAUUCAGGUUCAUUGAAGACUAAAUUCUCCAUAGGUGCGAAUGUGAGCGUGACCGGUUGCUUGUCUUUUGUGUCCUGUGAUUGGCUGGCGUCCAGUCCAGAGUCGCCGACGAAUUGUAAUGAGGACAAACUAACUCCAGUAUGUAGAGUGCUCGCAGUGACCUCACAGGGGGCGCUGUGCACCGGCACACGGUGCAAAAAACAAACAACUAAAAAAAACCACACACAAGUACCUGGGCGUUAUCUCUGAGAGCGUUCAAUCGAUCGAUAGUCAAUUUCAACCCAAUUCCAGACCAGAAGCCUCCAAGAUCCUCUCGCGCUCCACUGUGUCUGUGAUUCUUACUCUUCGAGUUAGCAGGUUCUUCCCAAACGGGCGUCGAUUCUGCUCGAUCGAGGAGGAAGUUGACGGGCGUGGAAUGGGUUAACGGCGGACGGAAGGCCCCGGUCCAAUCAGCCCGUUAUCGGAACCGCGAGAGAGGAGGAAAAGGAGGGCGGGAGCUUGGGAGGAAGAGGGGGAAAAAAAGAAAAGCCGCCUGACGCGCAUCCUCAGCCCGCUUUCUGUCGUGUCCACAUCCGCUCCAUCAUCACCGCUAUCCCGAAAAAGCCACAAUGAAGGACCGCAUGCAAGAACUUCGACAUGACAAGGAGACGACAGGGGAAGAGGAUGAAGUGGCCGUGGGGAUGGACAAAGGAUUCAUGGAUGAAUUCUUUGAGCAGGUGGAGGAAAUCCGAGGUUACAUCGAGUCCCUGGGGGAGAAAGUUGAGGAGGUGAAGAGGAAACACAGUGCCAUCCUUGCAUCACCGAACCCUGAUGAGAAAACAAAGGCUGAACUGGAGGAUCUUAUGGCAGAUAUCAAGAAACUGGCCAACAAAGUGCGCUCCAAAUUAAAGAGUAUUCUGCAUACGAUCGAGCAGGAAGAAAGUCAGAACAGAUCGUCAGCUGAUUUGAGGAUACGCAAGACACAGCACUCCACAUUGUCCCGCAAGUUUGUGGAGGUGAUGUCCGAAUACAACACCACUCAGUCAGACUACAGGGAGCGCUGCAAGGGCCGUAUUCAGAGGCAGCUGGAGAUCACUGGAAAAAAUACGACAAACGAGGAGCUGGAAAGCAUGCUGGAAAGUGACAAUCCAGCUAUCUUUACAUCAGGGAUCAUCAUGGACAACAUCACCCAGCAAGCAAUGAACGAGAUCGAGACGCGGCACAAUGAGAUCAUCAAGCUGGAAAACAGCAUCCGAGAGCUUCACGACAUGUUCAUGGACAUGGCCAUGUUGGUGGAGAGCCAGAGAUCACAGCAGCCAGCUAACGCACAAAGGGCGAGCUGGUGAACAACAUCGAGCGCGUUGUGUGGGAGGCACAGGACUACGUGAAGCAAGCAAAGGACACCAUCCCCAAAUGCAAGAAGUUCAAAAAAACCAGCAGGCGGAAGAUGAUCCUGAUAGGAGGUUGUGUCGCCGCUUGUUUGAGCGUCCUCGUAAUUUCUCUGGCGGUUGGCCUCAGCUAGGACACGAGAUGACCUAGCAGAACAAUCCAACCCCUUUGACCCAUUUUACUGUUCAUGUGUUGUCAAUGGACUUUCUACCGAGUGCUGCUAGCAAAGAAAGUGGGCCAACAUACAGUAUAAAAAGCCUUGCUUCGUCAUUGUUUUAACAAUUUUUAAAGAUGCUACAGAUUUCCCACUGCAUGAUUCUCAUGCCCGUCACACGCAUGACUGCUGCAGUGUUUGUAUGGUUUUCCCACCAAAUGGAAAUCCACACACACAAAAACAAAACAAAAAACUUAAAGGAGACAUUAUUAUGAAAAUUGACUUAUUGUUUUUACAGUAUACAGAUAGUUGCGCCUUUGGACUGUACAGUGUAAAAUUAAGCAACCAAGUUAAUCUUUAGUUACUGUAGCUACAUUUUUCUGAAAAUGUUCACGGUUAAAUUAGCCAGUGGUGGCUUCACGCGAAAAGGUUUUACCAAUUAGUCAACUAGCAGACUUUGCUACUUGAUGUUUAACGUUUGAACUCGACUAAGCGCUAAUAAUGCUUUUUUGCCAUCUCGUCUUCCACUCAGCCAAUUUACAGAGGACUUUCAACUCUUCCGUCAGCGGACCAUUAACGCUCUGUGGAGCAGCAAAAUGUCCGGCUGACAAAGCGGCACAGUCUUCAUACUGUACGUCUGUGCAGGUCCAAGAGUACAAGAAUAAGAUGGUUGUGGAUGACAAUAGCGGUUAGUCUCACUAGCUUGGGCUAUUCCAACAAUAUCAAGAAGGUCAUCGAUUAAUCGACGACAGUCAUCACUUUAUAAUUGACUACAACCAAAAUCUAGUCGCUUCACCCCACAUAGUGCACACGUCAUACAUGUGCUGUCUGGACGCGAAGGGGGGAAUGCUCUGGAAGGAGUCUCAGACUCCGCAGAAUAUGUUUGCGCAUUGCUUUAUUUAUGCAAAUAUAGUCACUAGAGAGGUCACAAAAGUUGCUCAAUUUAGCGACAGAGUUGCUAAGUUGGUAACACUGAGUCGGCUCGCUUCAUCGUAUGUUCUACCUCAGCCUCUGGUUGUCAAGGUAACGAAAGGUCUAUUGGGAUUUCCAUGAAACAGAACUGCCUCUCCCAAAGCGGCCGAUCUGAUCCAGAGUGUGACGAGUGGCUAUUAAGUCUGCUUUUUUUCAUUAUCCUUUGUGUAUUCUGACCAACGACUGUCACAGACACCUGGGAACUCUCUUAAUUGGUGAAACAAAAAUGCAUAAUGUCUCCUUUAACUGGUGUGCUUGCAUCGUCACCAAACUUUGUAGACUGGAACAAAGUGGCUCAUGUGAAAAUAAACAAAAUGCGUUGUAUGUGCUUGUUACUGUAAACACUCCAAAAAUGUCACGAGCAAAGAAUCUCAGUUUUUCUCUUAUUCUUUUGAUUCACUGUGCAGACAAAAGUAUCGGGACACUGCUUGAGGUCAAAAUCUUGUGCACCAAGCAUGCCUUUUUGACUUUCCCCAAAAUGUUCCCAAAAAGUUGGAAGUAUACAGUUGUCCAAAAGGUCAUUAAUGGGGUCUAGUCAAACCCUUAAUUCAUUAAUUGUGUCCCACUUAGAGUAGGUGGGUAAGUGUAAUAGAUUUAUUUCUAUCAUUUGUCCAUCACAAGAACCUUUCCCAAGUUUAAGAAUCCAUUACAGUCCCCCAAAAAACACCAGAUUUUUGUUGUUGUUAAUAAAGAAAAGUAGCAGUAUAUUGUAAAAUAUAGACAUAAAAACAUAAUAGAAAAGAAUGUAAAGAUAUUAACUGCUUUUAUGAAGUGUAAUCAAGCCACGUGUCCCACACACACCGUCUCUCUCUCUCUCUCUCUCUCUCUCUCUCUCUCACACACACACACACACACACUCACUGUAGUACAUUUGCGUGCUGUGCCUUAAAAUACGCUGCCUCUCUCUCUCUCUCCCAUACUUGCUCGAUCCCCGCACCCCGCCCUCUUGAGCAGGAAGGCUCUGUCUCUUGUCAGUGGUUCAGUUCCAAAAACUUUUGUUUUAUGUCUUUCAAUAAGAAAAGUUGCGCUCAACAGUAUGGUAUUGUAUACAAACACACAGUAACAACAUUUGCACGCAAAUGUAAAAACGAUCUACAGUGUUCCCUCGCUAUAUCGCGGUUCACCUAUUGUGGAUUCAGUACAUUGUGGAUUUUUUUUUCAUAUUGCGCAUAAUUCACCAUAUCGCAGGAUUUUGAGUGUAUGCUGUAAUUUUUUUCUUUAUUUGAAUAAAUGCUGCCGAGCCUAAAACAUUAAAACUGUCAUUAAAAAAUAAAAAUUCAUUCAAACACAUACUACAAGGAAUAAAAUGUACAUACUAUAAAAUAUACCUGUGCAUUACUGUAUGUUUAAGAGUUUAAAAGGUGUUGAAGAGUAUAAAAUGUUUAUAAGUGUAUGGUAGAGGUUAAUAAGAGUGUGGGGACGGUUAGUGAGUAUGGGGAGGCUCAUAGAGCUUUAAAAUAUGUAUAAAUUUAAAAAGCCAUUGCGGGGGUGGUCCGGAACAUAACGAGGGAUUACUGUAUUUUAAGGAGCUUACUCCUUAAUUUUAGGAAACACGAACUUAUCCCAUAAAGAAUUGGAGGAUAUCUGUUGGGAGACAUUGGUAAUGUAGAAUAUUUGAAUAUUUAAGUGAUUCAGAGUCCCAAUACUUUUGCUGCUGUACAGUAGAGUAGCAUGUGUGUUUAUUGGUCAAUCCAAAAGUUUCUAACAUGUUUUCUUUUGCUCCCUACUCGCUGCCCUGGACGACUGUUGCUUUCGUCACUUGUCUUGUUUUCCUCGCUAAAUAGAAGAAAAUAAUGAUUAUUAUAUGCUGUGUGAUUCUGGGAAUAAUCAUUGCAUCCGCCGUGGGUGGCACACUGGCCUAAACCUCUGAAAACACACACACACACACACACACACACACAUGUCAAAAACAGACACGUUCCCACUUGCCAUGAAUGCAAACGUAUUACGCAAUGUUUGGAAUGCGCCGUGUCACUUCCUGUACCAUCCAUCUGACAUGACAGCAACAUGUUUUGGCAUGAGUUUCUUUCUUGUAAAAAUGUGCGGUGCUGCAACAAAUGUUUGAGUGUUGUCAACGAUUUGAUGUUUUCCCCUCAAAUUGAAUUAUUGUGUGGAAAAAGUUACAAAAAGGAAUUAUGUACCACUCUAUCCAUUCAAAGUAUGAUGGUGUACUGAGUUGUCUGUUUUGUGUGUAGGCAACUUAAGAGGGGACUAAUCUGCAGUGUUUUUUGCAAUUACACAUUUACUGACUCCAACCACUUUUUCCUGUUUUUAACUUUCUAUCCAAUGUCAACAUUACACAGGAGUGUUGUGGCCACAACAAAAAGAAAAAACAAAAUCACACUAACGUAUUGAAUUUGUAAUAUUACAGGGGAAAAUGUUUUUUAUUUUUUUAAACAGAAAAGUCGUAUUUACGUAAGGUUAAAGUUGUAUAGUUUCAAGAUAAAAAGUCAUAUCGUCUCCAAAACCACUUUUCAGGGAAUAAAAAAAAAACCGCCAUCUUGCUUGAGUUACCAAACAUUGCAUCGUUGAAGUUAAUAUUGUACCUUAUAUUGCUAUCAUAUACUGUUGCGCAACAUCAAUACAACACCACCACCAAACAACAAAAUCAUUGUUCAGUUGCUAAUUUAUUAAGGACACGUCGCCAGCACGUCUCCAAAUCAGAGUCUGCGCUCACACCAACCCCUGACCAGACAAAACACUUUUAAUACUUAACAAAAGCCAAAAUACUGCGGUUACAUCAUCUUCCCAAAUGCUUUCUCAAAGGUCUUAGAGCCAUGAGUGAUGCAAUCAAUAAAACAAUGAGCUAACUAAGCAGAGAUCUUUUUUUAACAAAACAGGCCAACUGCAAUGUAAACUAACUAUUUUCACUCAUUAUUGUUUAAAAGAACAUCCAGACUUUCAAUCUUGAGGCGACAUACGGCUCCCACAGACUGAAGUACGAGGCGGAGUUUUACAACACUUCUCAAACAGUUGAGUGUUCAAGAGCGGAUAUCGAUUUUUUUUCUCAAGCAAUUUUCAGCAAUUUAAAUUUGUUAAUAAUGCAUACAAAUAACAGACAAAAGUGUGGACCCAUAAUGGUUUUUUUUGUUUGUUUGUUUGUUUUUAAUAUGAAGUGGACUGCAUUUAGACAGACGAGGUUUUCCGCCCGACAGCGACGAUGCAGUGUUCUCCCCCAUACUCGCAAAUUCACCUGUUUGCAGAUUAUUUUGGUUUUGUACCCUGUCACAUAGGAAAGUCGUGCUUUAACACCAUUUAUGGCAUCUUGUUGCCAAUGAAAUAAAGUUUAGCCGAGGAGGUGGAGAUUAUGACUUUAAUCUUGAAGAGAUUACAACUUUAUUGUAGGGUUAUGACUUCAAGGUCCAAAAUAUAGAACUUUUUUUUCUUGAAAAUAUACAGGGUUUUUUUUGUGGGGAAAAAAACCUUUGUUUUACUUGAAUUUAAUCUUGAAAAUGUAAUGUAUUUUUUCUCAUGAAUGCACGACUUUGUUUUCAUAAGAUUAUGACUUUAAUCCAUAAUGGGGGGUUCUUCUUCUCUGUGUGGGGUGGCCCUAAUACUACUUCGUAAAUCUCCUCAACCUCCCUUACAAAACAAUGGCAAAAAAUCCUGCAUGGUCAAAUCUGGUGUCAAAUUCUGAUUGUAUUGAGAAAGGAGCUCAGUUGCAAAAAAUGCUCUUGUGCUUUAUUUGCUCUCAACUUGCCCUCAUCAUUAUCAUCUCAGACUGUUUGUUCCAGUAGUGAAUGUGCGUGAGUGCAUGCGGAUAAGCAAACGUGUUUUGUCUCGACAUGCUGAUGCGUGCUGAGUGGCACGAGAUAAAAGGACUGCUUGGCACUUUUUGUAUUGUGUAAGCUCUCUUAACACUGCCAGUAUGUUCAAAAAAUCUGAGUCUGCUCUGAUCGGGAUGUGUUAUUUAUCUUUUUUGUGUGUCUUUUGAUAAAGCUUAUGCUUUAAACGUUCAUUCUGUUUGUUCUCACUUGAAGAUAGGGUUGGGCAUCGAGAAUCGAGAACCGAUUGGAACUAGACCAGACAUUGUGGUGAUGGGGACUAUGGGACUAACAUUCCGGUUCUCCCGGAAUCGUUCAAAUAAAAAAAUAUCGGUUCCCAGUUUCGAUGCCAACAGUCCGCCGACCCGAAUAAGAAAGUGGCGAAAACCAACGAAGAAGAACGCACACGAAGACAUGCUUGUGCCCAACGGCACCAGCGAACAAAAGUGUUAACUAUGUUAAAAUAAAUGACCAGUCACCUCAGUGCAACACUAGUAUUAAGAUUAUAUUGUGCAAAGGAGGCGUUCCGGAUGUGUAGAUGUCUGACGCACUCCCUCUCGUGCCGAGCCUCAGCCUACACCGCGCGGAGCUUCAGUGAACUCAAUUGGGUGAGUGAAACCGUCAAAUAUGUCUUUGCCAACAUUGAGGCAGCUAACAAGUUAAACGGUAGGUUGCACUUUUGCAGUGAUGGUUUUUAGCGUUUGUUUUUUUUAAUCUUCAAACCAACGUAAGAGCUGAUGACAGACACAAAAAUAAAAUAUAAACGACUUUACCAUGCUGGAAAGAAAGUAGAAACAGUCGCAUUACAAGCAUAACAUUGAGCUAAAACUUCACUAAACGUCAAACUAGCAACUUUACAUCACAAUGAAUUGGGACGAAAUUCACAAAAACGUCUCACAGUAUCACAAACCGUGUGCCUCAUCGGUGGGUAGGUAAAGGAAUCAACGUUUUACAGAGCAAUUGGUUCCAUUCAUGACUCUUUUUCUUGCGUGUUGUUUUACUUUUGUUUUUACCGGUGUUGUAUGAAGUUAUUUUUCGUGCCAAAAUGCUGAGUUCCGGUGCGUACCUUUCCAAAUACAAAGCUACAUGCCUAAAACAGGAAGUCAAUUAAAACUUGCACAUAAAACAUUUGACGUGAUAAAACAGUCGCAAAUAACUAUUUUAACAAUGCUGUAUUUAACUUUUAGCUGAAGCAAUAAUUAAUGAAUAUUAUUUCCACACACAUUGCCUUUUAGUUAAUCGGUUUGUUAUUGAUACUGGUUAUAAAGAACCCCGAGUCAAAUGUUAAUUUCAGUUUAUGCUACAGGGUGUUAAGAAAAUUGAUAUUCGUAAUUUGGACACCCUGUAUUUAAACCAUGCAAACGUUUUUGACCUAGCCUCCUAAAAGAAUCGGAAGCGAAAUGAGGAAUCGGAAUCGCUCAAAUUCAAAUAAUGCCCAACCCUACUUGAAGAUGUCGGCAUGAAGUUAAAGUAGCCCUGUUAAAAACAAAACAACGAAAAAGCUUAUCAGACUGCAACCGUGUUAGCAUGUUGCCUCCUCGACCUGCUGCCUUUGCGUUUUGUCGUGAUGACAUGGUUUUUGUUUUUCUUCUUGUUUUUCCAAGUAAAGAUUGUCUGCAAAAAGAAAAAAAAAAGCUGUGCUCGUGUAUCUCUCAGACCGUCAUUUCCCCCAAAGGCCAAGUCACAGAUGGGUGUAGGCUAGUGACUCUCAACUAUUGUGCCGUGGCACAUUAGUGUGCCGUGGGAAAUUAUCAAAUUUCACGUAAUUGCUCAAACAAUUCUUUAUUUACAAGAUAUAAUGCAUCUUUGUUCAUCUAUUUAUGCCAGUGAGGCAUAGUGACAGACAGAAAAAAUAAAUGCUAUUCUAUUAGAUGGCAGGAAGUACAUACAGUAAUUAAUGUAUCCACUUUUUGUGACAUUUUUGUCUGUGUGUGUGCUGUGAGAUUUUUCAAUUGUAAUAUAUGUGCCUUGGCUGCAAAGGUUGCAAAUCAUUGGUGUAGGCAGACAGCGUAGUUCAGAUCUUCAUCAGUGUCUUGAAUCCUAGAUCAACAACAUAAAAGGACAUGUCUACUCUAAUUGGCGCAGUGGAACUUCUGAAAACUCACAUUUCAUACAGUUUGGAGUUUUUUUCUGGAAAGGUAAAUGCUUAAGUACAUCAGUAAAUUAUCAAAUCUCGUGAAAUUUCAAGUGUACAGUGGCGCCAUGAGUCAAAGUUUUACUCUCAAACUAAACAUAAAACAAGUUCACAUUGUGUAUUUAAAAUAACCGCAUCAAUCAAACUUUAUUUGUAAGCGCUUUUCAUACACUACGUGCAACUCAAAGCUCUUUAACAUAAAUUCAAAAUAUAAAAAUAAAUCAAUCCCAGCCUCCGCUUUUCAACAAGGACACAGACACGCACACACAUACAGGUUAAAAAUAAUUCCAUAAUGACCUAAUAACCAGUGCCCAGUUGUUCAAAGGGAAUUUGAUUGGAUUUUUGAUGGAUUGGAUCAAUUCAUGAGAAUGGGUUUCAUGAUACAGUACGUGCUGAGGGCUGAAAUGACCAAUAGAAACGCAAUCUCCGUUCACACGAUUCCAAGAUGGCGGCCCCCAUCGAAGUUGUCAGUAACCCGUAACUCAUGUGAAAAAGGUUGGCAUAAACUCCUUGCCCAGCCCUUCUCUGUACCAGUGGCCUGGUUCACUUUGACGUUCUCCGACAUGCUUUAGAGCAGUGGUGUCCAACAUAUGGCCCACAGGCCAAAACUGGCCCGCUAGCGGCUACAAUACGGCCCACAGGAUGAAUUCGAAAGUAAAAAAAUAACCCAAGACAUUGUGGUGGUGGGGACUAUGGGUAAUUUUGAGAAUGAUUAUGCUAAUGUAGAAAAUGAAAUGAAAAUAAUUCCUAGCUCCUCAUAAAUUGAUUUCAUUUUAAAGUGCAAUACUAUAUUCAUUAGUUCCAAAUACUUGUGACUAAAUGUAUUGUGCCUUAAAAGACAAUCACUGUGAUAGUUAUUAUGCACACAUAUACUGCAGAUGACAAACUGAAGCAAAAUUUUCCAAGAAAUCUGCAGUUGUUUUGUUAAGUGAUUUUUUUUUUAAAGUCAUUUAAUCUUGAGAUUUUGCUAAUGUACUUGUUUUGCAUUAAAACUUAUUGUUAUCUGUUAUUAUAUUACUAUAAGUAUAGUAUGAUUUUUGUGGUUGGGCCCCUUUGACAUUGUAUUAUGAAAUAAUAGUGUCUGAUCUUAUUAUAUACAACAACAUCAAAUUAGGCUGCGGUCACCAGCUUCAGUUUCCGUCUCCAGUUUCAUUGGUUGGAUCCUGGUCAGUAUCAUUCAGGUUGCCAGGAAAAAUAAUAAAAAAGCAAUCUUGUCUUUAUGGGAUUUAUUACAAAGGGCUAUUUACAUAGUAAGUACAGAGAGAGAGAGAGAGUGCACUAGUGGUUUACAUCCAAACAUCUGUCAAAUCCAUCAAUUUUUCAUGCAAGAGCAAGCUUAAAGCACUGCUCACUUUCUGAGACUAGCACUGGACUUCACUUUCUGGGAUUUUGGCUGAGUAUGUUGCACUGAUGAAUUCGGAACAAGUGUUGAGUGCUAUAAUGAUAAUAAUUUCUGCACCUAAAACUGACAAAAAUUGAGUUACCAUGACUUGUGUUUGUUUCACUCACUGUCUCUCCGACCCCCGCUUGUUGUUGUUGUUUUUGUUUUGUGUGUAGAAUUGGGCGAAGGUAACGUGUGUGUGUGUGCGUGUGUGCGUGUGCGUGUGUGUGCGCGCGUGCGUGCCUGUGUGCACACGUGUGUUUGAACUAUACAAUUUGAACCUUUGGAUGGAAUAAGAGUUGAAAGAAAAUACACAGGGGCAUACAGUAUAUUAGUAGACAUUAACAAUAAUAAUAAUGACAAUAUAGCUCUUGAGAAUGAAGUUUGGCUUGGAAAUAGCACUCUAAAAGUGAUGAAGUAUGUGGACUAUUUGAUGAUUUGUUUGCUAAAAAGAAGCAUGCACAAGUGGGUUUAAACGGCACAAAACAAACAAGUAAGGGGCCACUUUGCGGGUAUUGCUGACAGCCACACGUUGUCCUUCCACUCUAAUGCAGUGCUUUUUUUUUAUUGAUGUGGGUCAUCUCCUGGGGCCUCCUUCAGCUCAGGGCCCUAGGCAAUUACCUGCCUUGUUUACCCUGUUGUGAUACCUCUUUUUAUACAAACAAUAAAAGAUACAUUUUUCAUAAUGUCCACUUUUAUUUUUCUUAGAAAUGAUUUGUCACUCAGCUUCAAUCUAUCUUCUAUACAUACCUGUUUGGUCUCGUGCUUACUGAAAUUGAAAUGGGAAGAAAAAACAUCUAAUAAAUUUGCUCUAUGUGUGAAAUGAA
RNA transcript from Phyllopteryx taeniolatus (common seadragon), 11057 nucleotides. It is a transcript of the gene named syntaxin 1A (brain), with no coding region annotated. The transcript is spliced from 11 exons. NCBI's taxonomy places the organism in Eukaryota, Metazoa, Chordata, Actinopteri, Syngnathiformes, Syngnathidae. The record is from RefSeq and is a predicted model, not a curated record.